RNAcentral lists this ribosomal RNA (400 nucleotides) under uncultured bacterium. Its description in RNAcentral is "bacterial SSU rRNA". It matches the Rfam family "Bacterial small subunit ribosomal RNA", at positions 355 to 773 of the family's 1533-position model. The record is from RNAcentral.
UGGGGGAUAUUGCACAAUGGGCGAAAGCCUGAUGCAGCGACGCCGCGUGAGGGAAGACGGUCUUCGGAUUGUAAACCUCUGUCUUUGGGGAAGAAAAUGACGGUACCCAAAGAGGAAGCUCCGGCUAACUACGUGCCAGCAGCCGCGGUAAUACGUAGGGAGCAAGCGUUGUCCGGAAUUACUGGGUGUAAAGGGAGCGUAGGCGGGAUGGCAAGUAGAAUGUUAAAUCCAUCGGCUCAACCGGUGGCUGCGUUCUAAACUGCCGUUCUUGAGUGAAGUAGAGGCAGGCGGAAUUCCUAGUGUAGCGGUGAAAUGCGUAGAUAUUAGGAGGAACACCAGUGGCGAAGGCGGCCUGCUGGGCUUUAACUGACGCUGAGGCUCGAAAGCGUGGGGAGCAAAC